AACGAACGCUGGCGGCGCGCCUAAUACAUGCAAGUCGAGCGAGAAGACGUAGCAAUACGUUUGUAAAGCGGCGAACGGGUGAGGAAUACAUGGGUAACCUACCCUCGAGUGGGGAAUAACUAGCCGAAAGGUUAGCUAAUACCGCGUACGCUCCUUGGACUUCGGUUCAGGGAGGAAAGCGAUACCGUGGGUAUCGCGCUCUUGGAUGGGCUCAUGUCCUAUCAGCUUGUUGGUGAGGUAACGGCUCACCAAGGCUUCGACGGGUAGCUGGUCUGAGAGGACGAUCAGCCACACUGGCACUGCGACACGGGCCAGACUCCUACGGGAGGCAGCAGUAAGGAAUAUUGCGCAAUGGGCGAAAGCCUGACGCAGCGACGCCGCGUGGGGGAUGGAAGGUCUUCGGAUUGUAAACCCCUUUCGGGAGGGAAGAUGGAACGAGCAAUCGUUCGGACGGUACC
Molecule: ribosomal RNA, 458 nt
Filed under: uncultured bacterium
Lineage: Bacteria
Description: bacterial SSU rRNA
Rfam family: Bacterial small subunit ribosomal RNA
Source: RNAcentral